This 819-nucleotide long non-coding RNA is filed under the name Capsicum annuum. RNAcentral's name for it is "long non-coding RNA (CANN_LNC021108)". Lineage: Eukaryota; Viridiplantae; Streptophyta; Magnoliopsida; Solanales; Solanaceae. The record is from RNAcentral.
AUGCAUUGCUCGAUAGUUCCAACAGUUCGAGGAAAAGAAGUGUUUUCGUGUUUUGUUUUCUGGUUUUAUACUUUUACAGACUUCACAUAAACAUGUAAAUAGUUCAAAAAAUCUCCUUUCUUGUUUGUUUUCGCCUACUUUUGUAUGCUUCAGAGAGUUUUGAGUCUGUUAGAGGCAGUGAUGGUUGGUUUUGUUUGAUGGUUUUCUUCUGUAAAUGAUUCUACUUCCAAUUUUACGUAUAAAUUUCCUCCGGUGCUUGCUACAUUGCAACGUCCUUCUUUCUCUCGAUUCAUCGUUCAAACCAAGGUAUGUCCUCUAUUCAACUAAGUUUGUAUUACUAUGUGAGGUUCAGCUUACCCUUGCACAAGCAUUCGUGGGUGAUCCACGACUUAAGACUUGUGGCCUGUAUGUCACAAGGAAACAACUUUACCGUUACUCUUACACUUCCCUUCGUGAUACACUAGUGCGAAGAUAGGUGUUUCAUUACUGUAACUCGUAAGUACACAAUGCCAAUAGGCUACUUUCAGUUGAAGAUGAAAUUGUUAUUCAAACUUACAUACAUACAUAGGAAAGUCCUUUAUUCUUUUUUAUGCGCUCAUCUUUUUAACUAGUUAAAGCUGAUCUGAUACUUUGGUUGCAUGUUUGCUAAAAAUAGUCCAAAAUGCUUCUCGAUUUCAGGGUUCUUCUGAUCUUCGUUGAAUAGAUCAAAAAUGUAGGUCUCUAUUGGACCGGAAGGUCUUUUAGGACUCCCUCCCUUCACGUGCUUAAUCAAGUUGUUGUUGUAAGUCCUAGCAUUGUCAAUGGACGUUAACUGACCUG